CACCUACGGGGGGCAGCAGUGGGGAAUAUUGGACAAUGGGCGAAAGCCUGAUCCAGCAAUGCCGCGUGUGUGAAGAAGGCCUUCGGGUUGUAAAGCACUUUAGUCAGGGAAGAAAAAGCUCAAACUAAUAUUUUGAGUGUUGACGGUACCUGAAGAAUAAGCACCGGCUAACUCUGUGCCAGCAGCCGCGGUAAUACAGAGGGUGCAAGCGUUAAUCGGAUUUACUGGGCGUAAAGCGUGUGUAGGUGGUUGGUCAAGUCGGGUGUGAAAUCCCCGGGCUCAACCUGGGAAUUGCUUCCGAGACUGAGCGACUAGAGUACGGUAGAGGGCGGUGGAAUUUCCGGUGUAGCGGUGAAAUGCGUAGAUAUCGGAAGGAACACCAAUGGCGAAGGCAGCCGCCUGGGCCUGUACUGACACUGAGACACGAAAGCGUGGGGAUCAAACAGGAUUAGAUACCCUAGUAGUCU
Molecule: ribosomal RNA, 467 nt
Filed under: uncultured Sinobacteraceae bacterium
Lineage: Bacteria; Pseudomonadati; Pseudomonadota; Gammaproteobacteria; Nevskiales; Nevskiaceae
Description: bacterial SSU rRNA
Rfam family: Bacterial small subunit ribosomal RNA
Source: RNAcentral